Molecule: ribosomal RNA, 468 nt
Filed under: uncultured bacterium
Lineage: Bacteria
Description: partial 16S ribosomal RNA
Rfam family: Bacterial small subunit ribosomal RNA
Source: RNAcentral
GACGAACGCUGGCGGUGUGCUUAACACAUGCAAGUCGAACGGUAAGGCCCUUUCGGGGGUACACGAGUGGCGAACGGGUGCGUAACACGUGAGUAACCUGCCCUCAUCUCUGGGAUAACAGUCGGAAACGGUUGCUAAUACUGGAUAUGAGCUUGCAAGGCAUCUUGUGGGUUGGAAAGAUUUUUUUUGGUUGGGGAUGGACUCGCGGCCUAUCAGCUUGUUGGUGAGGUAGUGGCUCACCAAGGCUUCGACGGGUAGCCGGCCUGAGAGGGCGACCGGCCACAUGGGGACUGAGAUACGGCCCAAACUCCUACGGGAGGCAGCAGUGGGGAAUAUUGCACAAUGGACGGAAGUCUGAUGCAGCAACGCCGCGUGCGGGAUGACGGCCUUCGGGUUGUAAACCGCUUUCAAUUGUGACGAAGCUUUUUUGUGACGGUAGCAGUAGAAGAAGCACCGGCUAACUACGUG